Molecule: ribosomal RNA, 598 nt
Filed under: uncultured bacterium
Lineage: Bacteria
Description: bacterial SSU rRNA
Rfam family: Bacterial small subunit ribosomal RNA
Source: RNAcentral
CCUACGGGAGGCAGCAGUGGGGAAUAUUGGACAAUGGGCGAAAGCCUGACCCAGCAAUGCCGCGUGAGUGAUGAAGGCCUUCGGGUCGUAAAGCUCUUUUACCAGGGAUGAUAAUGACAGUACCUGGAGAAUAAGCUCCGGCUAACUCCGUGCCAGCAGCCGCGGUAAUACGGAGGGAGCUAGCGUUGUUCGGAAUUACUGGGCGUAAAGAGUACGUAGGCGGUUAUUCAAGUCAGAGGUGAAAGCCCGGGGCUCAACCCCGGAACUGCCUUUGAAACUAGAUAACUAGAGUCUUGGAGAGGUUAGUGGAAUUCCGAGUGUAGAGGUGAAAUUCGUAGAUAUUCGGAAGAACACCAGUGGCGAAGGCGACUAACUGGACAAGUACUGACGCUGAGGUACGAAAGCGUGGGGAGCAAACAGGAUUAGAUACCCUGGUAGUCCACGCCGUAAACGAUGAUAACUAGUUGUUCGGUCACUUGGUGACUGAGUGACGCAGCUAACGCAUUAAGUUAUCCGCCUGGGGAUACGGUCGCAAGAUUAAACUACAAAGAAGUAGUAGACGCGNGAAGUAGUCGACGACGACGACGACGAGGAGGAG